RNAcentral lists this small nuclear RNA (101 nucleotides) under Neotoma lepida (desert woodrat). The record is from RNAcentral. Lineage: Eukaryota; Metazoa; Chordata; Mammalia; Rodentia; Cricetidae.
CUUGCUUCAACAACACAUCAUAAAAUUGGAAUGACACUGAGAUUAACAUGGCCUCUGUGCAAAGAUGACGCAAUGCAAAUUCAGGAAGCAUCCAUAUUUUU